Prionailurus viverrinus (fishing cat) is the source of this 287-nucleotide long non-coding RNA. RefSeq lists it as uncharacterized. The record is from RefSeq and is a predicted model, not a curated record. The transcript has 3 exons. NCBI's taxonomy places the organism in Eukaryota, Metazoa, Chordata, Mammalia, Carnivora, Felidae.
CAGGCUAUGGAGUUUGGAGUAGCCUUUGAACUCAGCUAUAUUUUAGUGAUUCUGCUCUGUACAACAUGUGGAAAAAUGGAGAAAAUAUAGAAAAGUCAAUAGUAAAGACUUUCAAGGCUGGACCUCCUGGAAAGUGUGGCUUGUAUUUUGUUUCUGAUUCUCCUCUUCCUGUUUUCUGUUCAACCCACUUCUUUUCAAGUUGUGGUAGCUACACUCAAGUGGCACUGCUUUUGUGAGUAUUAUCAAUACUAACAGAGGCUUUGACUUAAUUAGUUUGGGAUGGGGCA